GCCUUCGUGGUGUAGUGGUCAGCACGCCCGACGUGUAUUCGGGAGGUCCAGGGUUCGACUCCCGGAGAGGGCA
Non-coding RNA from Stegodyphus dumicola, 73 nucleotides. The record is from the annotation of a RefSeq genome assembly. NCBI's taxonomy places the organism in Eukaryota, Metazoa, Arthropoda, Arachnida, Araneae, Eresidae.